RNAcentral lists this ribosomal RNA (223 nucleotides) under uncultured bacterium. RNAcentral describes it as "partial 16S ribosomal RNA". It matches the Rfam family "Bacterial small subunit ribosomal RNA", at positions 125 to 334 of the family's 1533-position model. The record is from RNAcentral.
UCUGCCUGGGAGCGUGGGAUAACCUGGGGAAACUCGGGCUAAUACCGCGUACGUUGGUGGGACUACGGUUCUGUCAAGAAAGCUGGCCUCUGUUUACAAGCUAGCGCUCCCAGAGGAGCCCGCGGCUGAUUAGCUAGUUGGUGAGGUAAUGGCUCACCAAGGCUUCGAUCAGUAGCCGGCCUGAGAGGGUGAUCGGCCACACUGGGACUGAGACACGGCCCAG